CCUACGGGAGGCAGCAGUGGGGAAUAUUGGGCAAUGGGCGCAAGCCUGACCCAGCAACGCCGCGUGAAGGAUGAAGGUUUUCGGAUUGUAAACUUCUGUCGCGAGGGACGAAGAAUGACGGUACCUCGUAAGAAAGCCCCGGCUAACUACGUGCCAGCGGCCGCGGUAAUACGUAGGGGGCAAGCGUUGUCCGGAAUGACUGGGCGUAAAGGGAGUGUAGGCGGCUUAUGAAGUUAGAUGUGAAAUCCUGCGGCUUAACCGUGGAACUGCAUCGAAAACUGGUGAGCUGGAGUGCAGGAGAGGUGAGUGGAAUGCCUAGUGUAGCGGUGAAAUGCGUAGAUAUAUGGAAGAACACCAGUGGCGAAAGCGGCUCUCUGGUCUGUAACUGACGCUGAGGUUCGAAAGCGUGGGUAGCAAACAGGAUUAGAUACCCGGGUAGUC
RNAcentral lists this ribosomal RNA (441 nucleotides) under uncultured bacterium. RNAcentral's name for it is "partial 16S ribosomal RNA". It matches the Rfam family "Bacterial small subunit ribosomal RNA", at positions 338 to 795 of the family's 1533-position model. The record is from RNAcentral.